UGCCAUCUCCUCUGGUUCUUGAUCUUGGA
This 29-nucleotide non-coding RNA is filed under the name Homo sapiens (human). Lineage: Eukaryota; Metazoa; Chordata; Mammalia; Primates; Hominidae. The record is from RNAcentral.